UACAAAAUGCUUAAGGAUUAGAAUGUGAGU
RNAcentral lists this non-coding RNA (30 nucleotides) under Mus musculus (house mouse). The record is from RNAcentral. Lineage: Eukaryota; Metazoa; Chordata; Mammalia; Rodentia; Muridae.